RNAcentral lists this ribosomal RNA (405 nucleotides) under uncultured bacterium. Its description in RNAcentral is "partial 16S ribosomal RNA". It matches the Rfam family "Bacterial small subunit ribosomal RNA", at positions 30 to 526 of the family's 1533-position model. The record is from RNAcentral.
AUCGAACGCUGGCGGCAGGCUUAACACAUGCAAGUCGAACGAGUGGCGGACGGGUGAGUAAUGCUUGGGCAUCCAGCCCAUGGCGGGGGAUAACUACGGGAAACUGUAGCCAAUACCGCGUACUAUAGGAUGAGCCCAAGUGGGAUGAGGUAGUUGGUGAGGUAAAGGCUCACCAAGCCGACGAUCUCUAGCUGGUCUGAGAGGAUGACCAGCCACACGGGGACUGAGACACGGCCCAGACUCCUACGUGAGGCAGCAGUGGGGAAUAUUGCGCAAUUGGGGCAACCUGACGCGGCCAUGCCGCGUGAAUGAGGAAGGCCUUCGGGUUGUAAAGUUCUUUCGGUAGCGAGGCGUUAGCUACAGAAGAAGCACCGGCUAACUCCGUGCCAGCAGCCGCGGUAAUAC